Molecule: transfer RNA, 73 nt
Filed under: Tursiops truncatus (common bottlenose dolphin)
Lineage: Eukaryota; Metazoa; Chordata; Mammalia; Artiodactyla; Delphinidae
Also listed under: 4 other names
Description: tRNA-Val (TAC) (tRNA-Val-TAC-8-1)
Rfam family: tRNA
About the family: Transfer RNA (tRNA) molecules are approximately 80 nucleotides in length.
Source: Rfam by way of RNAcentral
UCCCUGGCGGUCCAGUAGUUAGGACUCUGCGCUUACACCGCAGGGAGCACAGGUUCGAUCCCUGGUCAGGGAA